GGCAAACAUCAGACAGCAAGUGUGUGUGGCUCUUGCACAUGAGAGAUGUGCCUGCACAUAGAUGUCACAUUAAAGCAGAUGGAGACAAUCAGUAAAGAUUUCAAAUGAAAACUCAUCUCCUGCACAUUUUCUUACUGUUGGAAUUACCUGUUUAGUGAGUUUUCUGUCUUCAUACACCACUGAACUUUGUUUCCUUCUGAACAUACAAGCAACCAGCCAGGUACAGAAUAGAUGACAUUUUAAUAUUGUUCACUUUGAUUAGUAGUGCAGCUUCUGCAGAAAAUUCAAUCAAGGCAUCAAUUUUAGACUGUGAUGAUGAUAAUAAAUUCCCUAUUUAAUAGAAUUUAUGUUUUUAUGCUUUUUGACAAGACAUUUUAAUUAAUCAGUAUAAGUGCUAAUGAAAUAAUGAAGUGGUUUGAACCAUAAUUGUAAUAAUAAUUGUCGUCUGCUAAGUACCAUGUGAGAAACAAUAGCAGGACUUACCAGAUGGAUGCAUAAAUUAAUGUGGCUUCCCUGAGUUUAUGGUUUUCAGCUUUUUUUUAUUUUGUAUUUCCAUUUGUGCUAGGAAUGUGUCACAAAAUGAAGUAACGUACAGCAUGAAAGUCCAGUGCAGAAAGCUAAUGCUUAAGUUGUGUAAUUACAGUCAGUAAAUGAUGUGAUUUAUAAGUGUAAUUAGUUCUUACUGAAUGCCUUCCUCUAUGCCUUGAAAUGGGAGUCUAGUUCAAGUGGGAAUACAUUUGUACACAAGAUGUAGCCUUUUGAUGCAGUCAUGGCUUUGAGAAACAGAGGAGAUGAGUUAUCUGCCUUUUCAUGAUGUGCAGGGCUUCCAAUCUCAGUCAGUCUCAGAACAAAGCUGAAGCCACAGACAUUCCUCCUUUAGUGUUUGCACUCCAUUUGUUGCUUGGAGCUGGGGAAAGUUGCAGUCAAGUUGGUGACUUGUUACCAGUCUCCAUGAAUCUGGCAAUGUUGGCUGUUUGCUUCUGGUCGAUUCCACUUGAGUGCAAGCACUGUCUAAUUAGACAUGAAGAGAUUUGUUGGAUGAUAUUCCCUUUGCUCGCUGGGUCGAUGCUCCGAGCAGGAAUCUUUCAGCAGAUAUGGACGCUGACUCAUGGGACUCCAGCUGAUGAGGGAUUGUGAGGGUUGUGCAUCUGCUGUGCUCAAGGUCGUGUCAUGGGUUCAUGUGUUUGUGGGAAAGCACAGAGCUGCAGGCAGCUGCCCGGAAAAUGUGCACUGCUGCCACGUCUGCUCCUUCUGAAACACCACAGACUAGGCACAGCAAAGAUCCAGAGGAGAAUCCCAGCCCUGCAAAUGCAUGGAAUGCAGACUGAGGCAGAAGUGUGAAAGUGCAUCAGCUGAGGUCUCUGAUUGAGUGAGUCAUCAUUCACAGCAAUGAGACUUGUCAGGUCUCAGUGAGGAAAGGCCCGGAGGGCUCUUCAGAGAAAGAGCACUCACUAUUGCUACCACAGUUCAGUUCCUUGUCAGCCUCUUGCUAGAGCUGCAGCUUAGCCUUGAAACCAUGACUUGCAAAUGUUUGCAAAAAUAAACUGCAUAAGGAAUUAAUACUUGGGCAUUUUGUAGUUCUGAAUCUCUUGUCUUUGCAGGAGUUUGAUUUUCCUGCAGUGUAUUUCUAUUUCGCAGCAAACUGGACUUUAGGGUAAAAGCAAGUUACCAGAUUCUGCCUCUGGAAUGAGUGUAUGUUGUCUGUCAGAUUCUGUGAGAACUGCUGGCAUUGAGCUGAGGGCUGAAUAUUUGGGAUUGACCCAGAAGAACAAUUUCAAGUCCUGCUGUUUUAUUCAUUGGGACAUAAUCUAGACAAACAUGAUUUGCAGAGGAUUUUUUUUUUAUUUAAUGAGAUUCUUUAGGAUGUAUUUUAUAUUUGGUGAAAUAGUUGUUUGAAAAAUGAUGUGCAACAUAAAUACCAUUUCUGAAUUUGACUUCAGCUGAAGAAGACACAUGCAGAGGAGAUGGGGAAAAAAAAGCAUAGUGGGAAAUCUGAUCUUAAUCUACUCCUUUGCUGGGUUCAUGCUUUUUAACUCAAGAGAUACCCUUAAGUAAUAGAAGUUUUAAAACUCACAUUUUUAAAACAGUUAACUUAAAUCAUUUGAAUAAACACGUUUAGCCAUUUCUUUGCAACUUACAUCUGCCAUGGUGUUUGGUUCCCCAACAUUGCUAUUAAAGCAAUUGCAGGCUAAUUUAUUCCACACCUACCUGAGUCUUGUCAGUUCUGAGAAGUCAAGCAAGUCGACAGCUUAGUUUUUAUUCCUUUCCUGUCACAGAGGCAGAGAAAUAGCCCUGCUGCUGGGCUUGUUCAAAGAUGAAAUUGCUCUGGAGUCUCAUUAAUAUAGUGAAUCAAUAUGUUCUCCUGAACUGGCAUGUUUUGUGUACUUAGUCUCUCCUCCCUAGGAAGACACUAUUAUUUAGGAAUCAAAUCUAUCCAGCAAACUAAAAUUAAGCUAUUUCCCCCCUCUCUUUAUAUAUUUUUCCAGCUAAAAAGUAUUCCAAGCAGCAUUCUAAAUUAUUCAAAACUCUCUAGUCUGUGGAAUUUUCAAUCUGAUGAAAACAGCUAAAAAAUAAAAACCACAUGCUCCACUGGCUCUGCAUACAAGACUCUGCAUUUUAAUCCAGAGCUGCUGCAUAUGCUGUAGCAUGUGCCUCUAUCAUUUGGUGUUGACAUCUGCAUUAUGAUGAGAGGAAUUAUUCAAAGCUAAAUUACUAUUCAGGAUGGUAGUGUGAAACAAUGAAAAUGAGAUUGCUAGAGGGGAAAAUAUAUGCAACAGUUUGUAUAGUUAGGGAAGAAAAUCGGAUUCAUUUGCUGAAGUGCUGGUUUCCUCUUUAGCAGACUUUAACCCCUUUACAACAGCUAAAAUAAAGCUGUGACAUGUUUCAUGACAAAAUUCAAAUACUUUUUCAACUGAUAUAGUUGUAAUAUUUACGGGCCAAAUCAGAAAAUGUCCUACAAGUAGAAAAUGCUUUGUUUAGACACACAUCUACACUUUGUUGGAACAGUGGGAAUAAUUUGCAUCAAAAAGUAAAAUACAACCAAAGAAUUACCACCUUUCCUUUUAUUAAGCUGUGAAUGCACUGAUCUUCCUUUUUCGGUGU
Passer domesticus (house sparrow) is the source of this 3102-nucleotide long non-coding RNA. RefSeq lists it as uncharacterized. The transcript is spliced from 2 exons. The record is from RefSeq and is a predicted model, not a curated record. Lineage: Eukaryota; Metazoa; Chordata; Aves; Passeriformes; Passeridae.